Numida meleagris (helmeted guineafowl) is the source of this 202-nucleotide long non-coding RNA. RefSeq lists it as uncharacterized. The transcript is spliced from 2 exons. Lineage: Eukaryota; Metazoa; Chordata; Aves; Galliformes; Numididae. The record is from RefSeq and is a predicted model, not a curated record.
GAAAAGUGUUGUACAGCUUCAUCAGUGCUGCAUGCAUUUCUUGGUUUCCUUUUUUGCUGUGUGCUUCCCUCCAGCCUGGCUGUCUGUGUCCACCUGUCGACCCUGCUCUUAUAUUUCAAUUGAAUUUGCCAUUUGGAAAAAGGAAAAAAGAAAAAUGUUUAAUUAGAGAUGGAGCUAAAGCAGCUAAUUUGAUCUUCCAAUG